Molecule: non-coding RNA, 45 nt
Filed under: Echinostoma caproni
Lineage: Eukaryota; Metazoa; Platyhelminthes; Trematoda; Plagiorchiida; Echinostomatidae
Source: RNAcentral
ACACUGCUAACGAGUCCCAAAUAGGACGAAACAGCUGUCCAGUAC